UACGUAGGGAGCAAGCGUUGUCCGGAAUCAUUGGGCGUAAAGCGCGCGUAGGUGGCCUCAUAAGUCCGCUGUGAAAGUCAAAGGCUCAACCUUUGAAAGCCGGUGGAUACUGUGAGGCUAGAGUACGGAAGAGGCGAGUGGAAUUCCAGGUGUAGCGGUGAAAUGCGUAGAUAUCUGGAGGAACACCGGUGGCGAAGGCGGCAUCCUGGACCAACACUGACGCUGAGGAGCGAAAGCCAGGGGAGCAAACGGG
RNAcentral lists this ribosomal RNA (253 nucleotides) under uncultured bacterium. RNAcentral describes it as "partial 16S ribosomal RNA". It matches the Rfam family "Bacterial small subunit ribosomal RNA", at positions 524 to 776 of the family's 1533-position model. The record is from RNAcentral.